CGCACGGGAAUUCCGGGGUAACUUGGAUAGUACAGUGGCGGAAGGGCGAGGAACACAUGGGUAACGUACCUUUAGCACAGGGAUAGCCGCGGGAAACUGCGGGUAAUACCUGAUGAGACCACAGCACUGCAGGGUGCAGCGGUCAAAGGGCGGGUCCUCUUCGGAGGCCUGUCGGCUUUAGAGCGGCCCGUGUCCUAUCAGCUAGUUGGCGAGGUAACGGCUCACCAAGGCAACGACGGGUACCGGGACUGAGAGGUUGGCCCGGCGCAUUGGGACUGAGACACUGCCCAGACUCCUACGGGAGGCUGCAGUAACGAAUAUUCCGCAAUGGGCGAAAGCCUGACGGAGCGACGCCGCGUGUAGGAAUAAGCUCUUCGGAGUGUAAACUACUGUCAGGGGUUACCAAGCAAAGAGGGCUAAUACCCUUCUGAGUUGAGGAGCCCCAGAGGAAGCCACGGCUAACUUCGUGCCAGCAGCCGCGGUAAGACGAAGGUGGCAAGCGUUGUUCGGAAUCACUGGGCUUAAAGAGCACGUAGGCGGCUCAUCAAGUGUCUUGUGAAAUCCCCCGGCUCAACCGGGGAAUCGCUGGAUAGACUGACGAGCUUGAGGCAGGUAGGGGCGAGUGGAACUCUUGGUGGAGCGGUGGAAUGCGUAAAUAUCAAGAGGAACGCCGGAGGUGAAGACGACUCGCUGGGNCCUGUCCUGACGCUGAGGUGCGAAAGCCAGGGGAGCAAACGGGAUUAGAUACUCCGGUAGUCCUGGCCCUAAACGAUGUCCACUAGGUCGGNAGCACUCUGACGUGUUU
Molecule: ribosomal RNA, 805 nt
Filed under: uncultured bacterium
Lineage: Bacteria
Description: bacterial SSU rRNA
Rfam family: Bacterial small subunit ribosomal RNA
Source: RNAcentral